AGCGAACGCUGGCGGCAGGCCUAACACAUGCAAGUCGAGCGCCCGUAGCAAUACGGGAGCGGCAGACGGGAGAGUAACACGUGGGAACGUACCCUUCAGUUCGGAACAACCCAGGGAAACUUGGGCUAAUACCGAAUACGUCCGUAAGGAGAAAGAUUUAUCGCUGAAGGAUCGGCCCGCGUCUGAUUAGCUAGUUGGUGAGGUAAUGGCUCACCAAGGCGACGAUCAGUAGCUGGCUGAGAGGAUGAUCAGCCUCACUGGGACUGAGACACGGCCCAGACUCCUACGGGAGGCAGCAGUGGGGAAUAUUGGACAAUGGGCGCAAGCCUGAUCCAGCCAUGCCGCGUGGGUGAUGAAGGCCCUAGGGUUGUAAAGCCCUUUCGGCGGGGGAAGAUAAUGACGGUACCCGCAGAAGAAG
Molecule: ribosomal RNA, 418 nt
Filed under: uncultured bacterium
Lineage: Bacteria
Description: bacterial SSU rRNA
Rfam family: Bacterial small subunit ribosomal RNA
Source: RNAcentral